AACGAACGCUGGCGGCAUGCCUAACACAUGCAAGUCGAACGAGACCUUCGGGUCUAGUGGCGCACGGGUGCGUAACGCGUGGGAACCUUCCCUUAGGUUCGGAAUAACUCCCCGUAAGGGGUGCUAAUACCGGAUAAUGUCUUCGGACCAAAGAUUUAUCGCCUUUGGAUGGGCCCGCGUUGGAUUAGAUUGUUGGUAGGGUAAAAGCCUACCAAGGCGAGGAUCCAUAGCUGGUCUGAGAGGAUGAUCAGCCACACUGGGACUGAGACACGGCCCAGACUACUACGGGAGGCAGCAGUGGGGAAUAUAGGAAAAGGGGCGAAAGCAUGAGAAAGCAAUGACGGGUGAGUGAUGAAGGGAUUAGGGUUGUAAAGCUCUUUUAAACGGGAUGAUAAUGACAGUACCGGGAGAAUAAGCACCGGCUAACUCCGUG
Molecule: ribosomal RNA, 433 nt
Filed under: uncultured bacterium
Lineage: Bacteria
Description: partial 16S ribosomal RNA
Rfam family: Bacterial small subunit ribosomal RNA
Source: RNAcentral